Molecule: ribosomal RNA, 440 nt
Filed under: uncultured bacterium
Lineage: Bacteria
Description: partial 16S ribosomal RNA
Rfam family: Bacterial small subunit ribosomal RNA
Source: RNAcentral
CCUACGGGUGGCUGCAGUAGGGAAUAUUGCUCAAUGGGGGAAACCCUGAAGCAGCAACGCCGCGUGGAGGAUGAAGGUUUUCGGAUUGUAAACUCCUUUUGUUAGAGAAGAUAAUGACGGUAUCUCAAGAAUAAGCACCGGCUAACUACGGGCCAGCAGCCGCGGUACUACGGAGGGUGCAAGCGUUACUCGGAAUCACUGGGCGUAAAGAGCGUGUAGGCGGGAUAGCAAGUCAGAGGUGAAAUCCUAUGGCGUAACCAUAGAACUGCAUUUGAAACUGUUAUUCUAGAGUAUGGGGGAGGUAGGAGGAAUUCGUGGUGUAGCGGUGAAAUGCGUAGAGAUCAAGAAGAAUACUGAUUGCGAAGGCGACCUGCUAGAACGUAACUGACGCUGAUGCGCGAAAGCGUGGGGAGCAAACAGGAUUAGAUACCCGAGUAGUC